RNAcentral lists this ribosomal RNA (460 nucleotides) under uncultured bacterium. RNAcentral describes it as "partial 16S ribosomal RNA". It matches the Rfam family "Bacterial small subunit ribosomal RNA", at positions 338 to 795 of the family's 1533-position model. The record is from RNAcentral.
CCUACGGGUGGCAGCAGUGGGGAAUAUUGCGCAAUGGGCGUAAGCCUGAACCAGCCAUGCCGCGUGCAGGAAGACGGCUCUAUGAGUUGUAAACUGCUUUUGUACGAGGGUAAACGCAGAUACGCGUACCUGUCUGAAAGUAUCGUACGAAUAAGGAUCGGCUAACUCCGGGCCAGCAGCCGCGGUAAUACGGAGGAUUCAAGCGUUAUCCGGAUUUAUUGGGUUUAAAGGGUGCGUAGGCGGUCGGAUAAGUUAGAGGUGAAAUCCCGAGGCUCAACUUCGGAAUUGCCUCUGAUACUGUUCGGCUAGAGAGUAGUUGCGGUAGGCGGAAUGUAUGGUGUAGCGGUGAAAUGCUUAGAGAUCAUACAGAACACCGAUUGCGAAGGCAGCUUACCAAGCUACUUCUGACGUUGAGGCACGAAAGCGUGGGGAGCAAACAGGAUUAGAAACCCCAGUAGUC